Long non-coding RNA from Daphnia pulicaria, 2362 nucleotides. RefSeq lists it as uncharacterized. The transcript has 4 exons. Lineage: Eukaryota; Metazoa; Arthropoda; Branchiopoda; Diplostraca; Daphniidae. The record is from RefSeq and is a predicted model, not a curated record.
CGGCCGCCGGAGAAAAUCAUAUCGCCACAAAUCUGGAUUAUUUGCUCGGAAACCUUUGGCGAUCAUGAAGUUCGCGGACACAACUGGGCUCAACAUUUACAUCGCGUCCAAGGGCGAAAAAAAUACCACAGCAAGUCCCGGCCUUCACUAGUUCAGUCCAGCGGCCAUUCUGGACAGCGCUCUAGCAUCACCCAGUGGUACAGCGGAGUCAACAGCCAGCACUAUUUCGGCUUCCGCGUUCAAAUGUCCAGUCGAUCCCGUUCGACCGUGUCAUCAUCAUGGUGUCAUUCUGACCAGAUCAAGCGACGGAGAAGAGGACGAACGUUACCACAUUAUACAUACAUUUGAGUACUGAACCAUGCACAGCCAUCGUGACAACAAGAUAUUCCAGUUUUGCUUCUGCUGGAUCUGUCACCUCAGCAACAACCUCAGCAUCAUCAUUUGGAUAAACAGCAUCCCUGUUGAUUGGAGAUUCUAACCAUGGCCGAGCUACGUAUCUCUUCCUUCGUCUCCCUUUCUUAAAAUGUCCUCAUGUACACUUCAUGUGAAUGUGGGUGUAUUCACGAGGACUCCCUUUUCUCCCUAUCCCGCCUGGUGGACUCAACUUUUCAGCGGAUGGAUGGAUCACUUGUGGAAGGAUACCUGGCUGAAUUUCCAAAGUUCAAAAGUAGGAAAACAAUUUAUCUCUAUUCCUCUUUCUGACUAUUGAGUGGGCGUUGAUUAUGAAUCGUUACCGAGUUCGAUUAUUCCUGAACUAUAGGCAGUUCCAGUUAUUGACUGGAACUGUUUUCUCUUGCCGUUUUCGUCGACUUGUUCUGGGUUCAUUAAAUAGCUCAUAGUACGACAACAGAUCAGGCUUGUUUUUUCCAAAAUAUUUCAAACUUGAAUUCAAUCAAAGUUCAACUAGGAGAUUUUAUUGAGCGAGAGGGGGACCUGCCGCCACACUGCGUUCAACUCCUUGUUUACAGAUGCUGGUCGGUCAUUGUCGGUUUACCGGUUUUGAUUGCAGUUACUUUUUUUCGGUUCAUCUUUCCGGGAAAGGAGAAUAGAACAAAUGAACAUUGUACUGCGCACACGUUGAUUGUUUGCGCUGCAAUCGAUCGGUCGUUAGUUUUUUCGUUUGAACAGGAAAGAGAUGAGACACAAAUAUCUACAGCACAAUGGGACCGUCGUGAUGGGACUUUUGGUGCCAUUAUGGUACGGUACGGAUCAUCCACACUAGACUUUUUCUUUCUUUUUUUUCCCGUUUUUUUCGGGAAAGAAUAAAAGGGUACCGUGAAUUUUUGAUUCUUUUUUUUUCUCUCUGUGUGUGUGUGUACUGAAAUACCGGUUUUUUAUUUUGGCGGCGUGUUGCUUUUGUGGCGUCCUGUUUUUCCCUGCGUUUCUUUCAUUUCUCUCCUCCAUUCUCGCUGUUCCAUCAAAGGAUGUGAUGAUGAUGACUUGUCGACUGAUGAAUGAUGAUCGAGUGGCUAAGCAUUACAGGGUCACGAGCUCAUCGGUUGGGCUUCUGGAACUUGCUGGCCGACAUUUAAAAAAAAUGAGAAAUAACAGCUGUUUUCUUAUUUUUAUUUUUUACCCCUCUGGCGGUGUAUAUACCAAUAUGCACGGAAGAUUAUAUGCUUUUAUAAAAUGUUGACGGUAUGGCAUCUGUUGUUUUAGCUGCCAGUUGCUCUGAUUCGAUUAAGUAUUAGGCGGGGGGGGGGGGGGUCCUGUAUAUUUCACUUUUGCCUUGUAUAACUUAAUGAGAAUAGAUUGCCUUUUACCACCCAACGAAUACGGUACCUGCUAUAGACCUGAUCAGUCUGAUGCCACGAAACGGCAAUCAUGAAAGGCCAUGGCUUGAUAUGAAGAUGCCGUACUCAUUAAAGCAGCCGGCCAGCCGGUAUAAAGGAAAGGUAGGUAAUGGAGAGUGGGGGUUAAAAUUGUUUAAAAUUUGAAGUUUCAAAGCUAGAAAAGAGAAAAAAGGUAUAAAUAGUAGAAAAGAAAUUGGGUCGGAAUUACUAACACGUUCACCCAACAAAACUUAAUAAUUCGACACCAAUUAUUCGACGCUUCAACAACAAGCAAAGCAACUACAUUUCCGCAAUGGUGUGAAAAUAUUUCGACAACGGAUGUAGCGUACAAAUACUUUGACCUAACCUAACUUAAACUUAACUUAACUAACUUAACCUAAUCUUAAAAACGAAUUGUCAAAGUACUUUUGCUACACUGUGUCGACGUAUUUUGUCACCAGUCGAAAUGCAGUUGCCUUAAAAUGUUGAAGGUAACAUCAAAUGGAAGGUGUCGAAUUAAAGUUUGGUCGGAUGAAACUUGCAAUAUCUGACCCAAUUAUGAAAGAAGAUGAUGAAAAAGAUAAAAAGAA